This 45-nucleotide non-coding RNA is filed under the name Arthrobacter sp. Its description in RNAcentral is "Guanidine-II sequence". It matches the Rfam family "Guanidine-II riboswitch aptamer (mini-ykkC)". From Rfam's summary of the family: Simpler in structure and has fewer highly conserved nucleotide positions than the ykkC-yxkD leader. The record is from RNAcentral. RNAcentral also lists the same sequence under 1 other name. Lineage: Bacteria; Bacillati; Actinomycetota; Actinomycetes; Micrococcales; Micrococcaceae.
CGGACGGGACGGCCCGUUUGUUCAUGCGACACGGGGACGACCCCG